UACGUAGGGUGCAAGCGUUGUCCGGAAUUAUUGGGCGUAAAGAGCUCGUAGGCGGUCUGUCGCGUCGGCUGUGAAAACCCGGGGCUCAACCCCGGGCCUGCAGUCGAUACGGGCAGACUAGAGUGCGGUAGGGGAGACUGGAAUUCCUGGUGUGGCGGUGAAAUGCGCAGAUAUCAGGAGGAACACCGGUGGCGAAGGCGGGUCGCUGGGCCGUAACUGACGCUGAGGAGCGAAAGCGUGGGGAGCAAACAGG
Molecule: ribosomal RNA, 253 nt
Filed under: uncultured bacterium
Lineage: Bacteria
Description: partial 16S ribosomal RNA
Rfam family: Bacterial small subunit ribosomal RNA
Source: RNAcentral